Long non-coding RNA from Vitis riparia (riverbank grape), 382 nucleotides. RefSeq lists it as uncharacterized. The transcript is spliced from 4 exons. Lineage: Eukaryota; Viridiplantae; Streptophyta; Magnoliopsida; Vitales; Vitaceae. The record is from RefSeq and is a predicted model, not a curated record.
UGUGCCAGGAUUCUAGUUGAAUCCUGCCAUGCCCCCUAACCUAAUGGAACCUGCCCCUGAGGUCACCUCUCAUAGGAGGCACCCCAUAGAAUCCUUUCAACAGAGGAUUAGCAUUGUAACUGCUGAGUUGCUCUCUCAGUUGCAAAAUUGGAACAAUAGGCGGCAAUUUGCACCUCCCAGUUACUUUCAUGCUGAUGCUGUCAAUGAGUACUCAAAUAUUUGCAUCUGACAGCUUUCUUUAAUUAACAGAGUAUAUUCGUGAGAAAUAUUGGGAAGAAAUUGUCGAUUUCUUCAGGCGCCUGAAACUGAUCAAGGAACUGUUGCAAAGAUAAGAGAUGCUAUCAGACAACAAAGGGAAAUCAUUGUUCAGUUGAUCAACUGC